Molecule: long non-coding RNA, 219 nt
Filed under: Hordeum vulgare
Lineage: Eukaryota; Viridiplantae; Streptophyta; Magnoliopsida; Poales; Poaceae
Description: long non-coding RNA (HVUL_LNC006089)
Source: RNAcentral
UCAAACUAAAGAGAGUCGGUGACGAAAAGGGACAUCUUCUUUUGGGGUUUUCUUGCUGGGGACGGAGCGCAAUCCGAUCCGAUCCCCUGCAGGCGACGGAAUACGGCGAAACCUAUCAGCAAUGGCCGGCGUCGCCAGCCUCCCACCGGACAUGCUGGCCAACAUCCACUGCCGCCUGCUCUUCCUCGACCGCCUGUCCUUCGCCGCGGUCUUCCCGGC